Molecule: ribosomal RNA, 464 nt
Filed under: uncultured bacterium
Lineage: Bacteria
Description: partial 16S ribosomal RNA
Rfam family: Bacterial small subunit ribosomal RNA
Source: RNAcentral
CUACAGGAGGCAGCAGUGGGGAAUUUUGGACAAUGGGCGCAAGCCUGAUCCAGCCAUGCCGCGUGAGUGAAGAAGGCCUUCGGGUUGUAAAGCUCUUUCGGUGAAGACGAAACGGUUCGCGUUAAUAGCGCGGACUAAUGACGGUACUCACAGAAGAAGCACCGGCGAACUACGUGCCAGCAGCCGCGGUAAUACGUAGGGUGCAGGCGUUAAUCGGAAUUACUGGGCGUAAAGCGUGCGCAGGCGGUUUGCUAAGACAGGUGUGAAAUCCCCGGGCUUAACCUGGGAAUUGCGCUUGUAACUGGCAAGCUAGAGUGUGGCAGAGGGGGGUGGAAUUCCACGUGUAGCAGUGAAAUGCGUAGAUAUGUGGAGGAACACCGAUGGCGAAAGCAGCCCCCUGGGUUAACACUGACGCUCAGGCACGAAAGCGUGGGGAGCAAACAGGAUUAGAUACCCUUGUAGUC